ACUCAAAUGAAUUGACGGGGACCCGCACAAGCGGUGGAGCAUGUGGUUUAAUUCGAGGCAACGCGAAGAACCUUACCUACCCUUGACAUGUUAGUGAACCUUUUCAGAGAUGAAUUGGGCCCUCACGGGCGCUAACACAGGUGCUGCAUGGCUGUCGUCAGCUCGUGUCGUGAGAUGUUGGGUUAAGUCCCGCAACGAGCGCAACCCUUAUCCUUAGUUGCUAACAUUUAGUUGAGAACUCUAAGGAAACUGCCGGUGAUAAGCCGGAGGAAGGUGGGGACGACGUCAAGUCUUCAUGGCCCUUACGGGUAGGGCUACACACGUGCUACAAUGGCUACUACAACGGGAAGCUAAAUCGCGAGAUCAUGCAAACCCCUUAAAAGUAGUCUCAGUUCGGAUUGCACUCUGCAACUCGAGUGCAUGAAGUCGGAAUCGCUAGUAAUCGCGGAUCAGCACGCCGCGGUGAAUACGUUCCCGGGUCUUGUACACACCGCCCGU
This 498-nucleotide ribosomal RNA is filed under the name uncultured bacterium. Its description in RNAcentral is "partial 16S ribosomal RNA". It matches the Rfam family "Bacterial small subunit ribosomal RNA", at positions 899 to 1397 of the family's 1533-position model. The record is from RNAcentral.